AUGGACUCAAUUCUUUCUAAUGGAACUUGGGAACUAACUGAUAGACCAUAUGGUUGUAAACCUGUGGGCUGUAAGUGGGUGUUCAAAAAGAAGCUAAAGCCUGAUGGUACUAUUGAUAAGUACAAGGCGCGGCUAGUGGCCAAGGGCUAUACUCAGAAAGAAGGCGAAGAUUACUUUGACACCUAUUCACCCGUUGCUAGAAUGACCACCAUUCGAGUGUUACUUUCCUUGGCUGCCUCUUAUGGUCUUAUCAUUCAUCAAAUGGAUGUAAAGACAGCUUUUCUCAAUGGAGAGUUGGAAGAGGAGAUCUAUAUGGAUCAGCCUGACGGGUGUGUGGUAAAGGGUGAAGAGAGAAAGGUGUGCAAGUUGUUAAAAUCUUUGUAUGGUCUGAAACAGGCACCUAAGCAAUGGCAUGAGAAGUUUGAAAGAACUCUGACUUCUGCAGGAUUUGUCAUUAACGAGGCUGAUAGGUGUGUUUACUAUCGCCAUGGUGGGGGCAAUAGUGUCAUAUUAUGUUUGUAUGUGGACGACAUACUGAUCUUUGGUACAAACAUUAAUGCAAUUAAUGAGGUCAAGUCUUUUCUAUCAAAAAGUUUUGACAUGAAAGAUCUGGGAGAAGCCGAUGUAAUUCUAAACAUCAAACUUAUUAAGGAUGAGAGUGGGAUUACAUUAACGCAAUCUCACUAUGUUGAGAAGGUCUUGAACCGAUUCGGUUUUAUGGAUAGCAAGCCUUCUCCAACACCUUAUGAUCCCAGCAUGACACUCAGAAAGAACAAGAAAGAAACGAGAGAUCAAUUAAGAUACUCUCAAAUUGUCGGUUCACUCAUGUACUUAGCUAGCGCUACAAGACCAGAUAUCUCUUUUGCUGUGAGCAAACUGAGUAGGUUCAUGUCCAACCCGGGUGAUGAUCAUUGGCAUGCACUAGAAAGGGUCUUGCGCUAUCUGAGAGGUACUAUGAGUUACGGAAUUACUUAUUCAGGGCAUCCUGCUGUGCUAGAAGGAUAUAGUGAUUCAAAUUGGAUCUCCGAUGUUGAUGUACUUUACGCAACAAGUGGGUAUGUAUUUACUCAUGGUGGUGGCGCAGUGUCAUGGAGGUCUUGCAAGCAAACCAUAUUGACGAGGUCAACUACGGAAGCAGAAUUAACUGCUUUGGACACAGCUACUGUUGAGGCAGAAUGGCUGCGUGAGCUCUUGAUGGACUUGCCGGUUGUUGAAAAACCUGUACCGGCUAUUCUUAUGAAUUGUGAUAACCAAACGGUUAUCGCUAAAGUGAACAAUUCUAAAGAUAAUGCAAAGUCAUCAAGACACGUGAAAAGACGUUUGAAGUCUGUCAGGAAGUUGAGAAACUCCGGAGUAAUAACUGUUACGUAUAUACAAACAGACAAAAACCUAGCAGAUCCCUUUACAAAGGGACUAUCAUGA
RNAcentral lists this ribosomal RNA (1422 nucleotides) under Triticum aestivum (bread wheat). RNAcentral describes it as "partial small subunit ribosomal RNA". The record is from RNAcentral. Lineage: Eukaryota; Viridiplantae; Streptophyta; Magnoliopsida; Poales; Poaceae.